CCUACGGGAGGCAGCAGUGGGGAAUAUUGGGCAAUGGAGGCAACUCUGACCCAGCAACGCCGCGUGAAUGAUGAAGGUCUUCGGAUUGUACAGUUCUUUGAUGGGGGAUGAACACAAUGACGGUACCCCAAUAGCAAGCCACGGCUAACUACGUGCCAGCAGCCGCGGUAAUACGUAGGUGGCAAGCGUUAUCCGGAAUGACUGGGCGUAAAGGGUGCGUAGGUGGUUUAGUAAGUUGGCGGUGUAAUUCCGGGGCUCAACCUCGGCGUUACCUCCAAAACUAUUAGACUAGAGGGCAGGAGGGGUAAGUGGAAGUCCUAGUGGAGCGGUGAAAUGCGUAGAUAUUAGGAAGAACAUCAGGGGCGAAGGCGACUUACUGGACUGUAACUGACACUGAGGCACGAAAGCGUGGGGAGCAAACAGGAUUAGAUACCCCUGUAGUC
This 443-nucleotide ribosomal RNA is filed under the name uncultured bacterium. RNAcentral describes it as "partial 16S ribosomal RNA". It matches the Rfam family "Bacterial small subunit ribosomal RNA", at positions 338 to 795 of the family's 1533-position model. The record is from RNAcentral.